GAGCGGACAGAAGGGAGCUUGCUCCCGGAUGUUAGCGGCGGACGGGUGAGUAACACGUGGGUAACCUGCCUGUAAGACUGGGAUAACUCCGGGAAACCGGAGCUAAUACCGGAUAGUUCCUUGAACCGCAUGGUUCAAGGAUGAAAGACGGUUUCGGCUGUCACUUACAGAUGGACCCGCGGCGCAUUAGCUAGUUGGUGGGGUAAUGGCUCACCAAGGCGACGAUGCGUAGCCGACCUGAGAGGGUGAUCGGCCACACUGGGACUGAGACACGGCCCAGACUCCUACGGGAGGCAGCAGUAGGGAAUCUUCCGCAAUGGACGAAAGUCUGACGGAGCAACGCCGCGUGAGUGAUGAAGGUUUUCGGAUCGUAAAGCUCUGUUGUUAGGGAAGAACAAGUGCGAGAGUAACUGCUCGCACCUUGACGGUACCUAACCAGAAAGCCACGGCUAACUACGUGCCAGCAGCCGCGGUAAUACGUAGGUGGCAAGCGUUGUCCGGAAUUAUUGGGCGUAAAGGGCUCGCAGGCGGUUUCUUAAGUCUGAUGUGAAAGCCCCCGGCUCAACCGGGGAGGGUCAUUGGAAACUGGGAAACUUGAGUGCAGAAGAGGAGAGUGGAAUUCCACGUGUAGCGGUGAAAUGCGUAGAGAUGUGGAGGAACACCAGUGGCG
Molecule: ribosomal RNA, 670 nt
Filed under: Bacillus sp. N-QH-1515
Lineage: Bacteria; Bacillati; Bacillota; Bacilli; Caryophanales; Bacillaceae
Description: bacterial SSU rRNA
Rfam family: Bacterial small subunit ribosomal RNA
Source: RNAcentral